This 516-nucleotide long non-coding RNA is filed under the name Nicotiana benthamiana. RNAcentral describes it as "long non-coding RNA (NBEN_LNC030327)". The record is from RNAcentral. Lineage: Eukaryota; Viridiplantae; Streptophyta; Magnoliopsida; Solanales; Solanaceae.
CUAAGAGCUGAUGAAUUGGUCUAAACCAAAUACUCUGCACCACCAACGAGCGGAAAUCAUUACAGGCAUUAGUUUCAUCUUGGAUAUCAAAGCCAAGAAACUCUCCUGAAAUAUCAUGGACCUUUUUACCAAGCUCUUUGGUGAACUUGAGUCUUAUGAGUUGCAGGCUGUCUGAUGAAUCUUUUCUCCAGAAGUUUAGCAAUCUUCCCCUGCUCCAAGAACUGGAUCUAAGUGAAAAUUCAAUUAGUUGCCUCCCGGAGUGGGUCAAGUGUCUCCCUCAGCUCCAAAGCCUCAGUGUCAAGGCCUGUAAGAUGCUCAAAUCACUUACUGAGAUGCCAGUUAGCAUUUCAGAACUGUCCAUAGAUAGUUGCUCGUCCUUGGAAAUGAUGAGUCGUGGGCCUUUUUACCAAGCUCUUUGGUGAGCUUGAGUCUUAUGAGUUGCAGGCUGUCUGAUGAAUCUUUUCCCCAGAAGUUUAGCAAUCUUCCGCUUCUCCAAGAACUGGAUCUAAGUGAAAA